GUACUAUUAGAGAAGCUUCAGGGAGGGGAGCAAUCAGUUCAGUGAUAGUAGCGACAUCAGUUAAAAUAGCAAGUUCAGUUGGUGUUGCAAGUUCAAUAGCUUCAGUCAGUUCUUCCCUUUGUAUCAAACAAUUCAAACCACUCCCCCUUGUAAAUCUAGCCAAUUAUGUCCUUCACUACUAGUUUCUCCCUGAAAGACAUGCUCG
This 205-nucleotide long non-coding RNA is filed under the name Prunus persica (peach). RNAcentral describes it as "long non-coding RNA (PPER_LNC003325)". Lineage: Eukaryota; Viridiplantae; Streptophyta; Magnoliopsida; Rosales; Rosaceae. The record is from RNAcentral.